CCUACGGGAGGCAGCAGUAGGGAAUCUUCCGCAAUGGACGAAAGUCUGACGGAGCAACGCCGCGUGAACGAUGAAGGCCUUCGGGUCGUAAAGUUCUGUUGUCAGGGAAGAACAAGUACCAGAGUAACUGCUGGUACCUUGACGGUACCUAACCAGAAAGCCACGGCUAACUACGUGCCAGCAGCCGCGGUAAU
This 194-nucleotide ribosomal RNA is filed under the name uncultured Bacillus sp. RNAcentral's name for it is "partial 16S ribosomal RNA". It matches the Rfam family "Bacterial small subunit ribosomal RNA", at positions 338 to 524 of the family's 1533-position model. Lineage: Bacteria; Bacillati; Bacillota; Bacilli; Caryophanales; Bacillaceae. The record is from RNAcentral.